This 497-nucleotide ribosomal RNA is filed under the name uncultured bacterium. RNAcentral describes it as "partial 16S ribosomal RNA". It matches the Rfam family "Bacterial small subunit ribosomal RNA", at positions 28 to 507 of the family's 1533-position model. The record is from RNAcentral.
GAUGAACGCUGGCGGCGUGCCUAAUACAUGCAAGUAGAACGCUGAAGGAAGGAGCUUGCUCUUUCCGGAUGAGUUGCGAACGGGUGAGUAACGCGUAGGUAACCUGCCUGGUAGCGGGGGAUAACUAUUGGAAACGAUAGCUAAUACCGCAUAACAGUAGAUGUUGCAUGAUAUCUACUUAAAAGGUGCAAUUGCACCACUACCAGAUGGACCUGCGUUGUAUUAGCUAGUUGGUGAGGUAACGGCUCACCAAGGCGACGAUACAUAGCCGACCUGAGAGGGGGAUCGGCCACACUGGGACUGAGACACGGCCCAGACUCCUACGGGAGGCAGCAGUAGGGAAUCUUCGGCAAUGGACGGAAGUCUGACCGAGCAACGCCGCGGGAGUGAAGAAGGUUUUCGGAUCGUAAAGCUCUGUUGUAAGAGAAGAACGAGUGUGAGAGUGGAAAGUUCACACUGUGACGGUAGCUUACCAGAAAGGGACGGCUAACUACGUG